RNAcentral lists this ribosomal RNA (465 nucleotides) under Vreelandella stevensii. Its description in RNAcentral is "partial 16S ribosomal RNA". It matches the Rfam family "Bacterial small subunit ribosomal RNA", at positions 338 to 795 of the family's 1533-position model. The record is from RNAcentral. Lineage: Bacteria; Pseudomonadati; Pseudomonadota; Gammaproteobacteria; Oceanospirillales; Halomonadaceae.
CCUACGGGAUGCUGCAGUGGGGAAUAUUGGACAAUGGGCGAAAGCCUGAUCCAGCCAUGCCGCGUGUGUGAAGAAGGCCUUCGGGUUGUAAAGCACUUUCAGUGGGGAAGAAAGCCUUGGGGCUAAUACCCUCGAGGAAGGACAUCACCCACAGAAGAAGCACCGGCUAACUCCGUGCCAGCAGCCGCGGUAAUACGGAGGGUGCGAGCGUUAAUCGGAAUUACUGGGCGUAAAGCGCGCGUAGGCGGUCUGAUAAGCCGGUUGUGAAAGCCCCGGGCUCAACCUGGGAACGGCAUCCGGAACUGUCAGGCUAGAGUGCAGGAGAGGAAGGUAGAAUUCCCGGUGUAGCAGUGAAAUGCGUAGAGAUCGGGAGGAAUACCAGUGGCGAAGGCGGCCUUCUGGACUGACACUGACGCUGAGGUGCGAAAGCGUGGGUAGCAAACAGGAUUAGAUACCCGAGUAGUC